Molecule: transfer RNA, 67 nt
Filed under: Dacus longicornis
Lineage: Eukaryota; Metazoa; Arthropoda; Insecta; Diptera; Tephritidae
Also listed under: 1 other name
Description: tRNA-Ile
Source: RNAcentral
AAUGAAUUGCCUGACGAAAAGGGUUACCUUGAUAGGGUAAAUUAUGUAAUAAUUAUUACAUUCAUUA